RNAcentral lists this ribosomal RNA (492 nucleotides) under uncultured bacterium. RNAcentral describes it as "partial 16S ribosomal RNA". It matches the Rfam family "Bacterial small subunit ribosomal RNA", at positions 29 to 507 of the family's 1533-position model. The record is from RNAcentral.
AGUGAACGCUGGCGGUAGGCCUAACACAUGCAAGUCGAACGGCAGCACAGUAAGAGCUUGCUCUUACGGGUGGCGAGUGGCGGACGGGUGAGGAAUACAUCGGAAUCUACUUUUUCGUGGGGGAUAACGUAGGGAAACUUACGCUAAUACCGCAUACGACCUACGGGUGAAAGCAGGGGAUCUUCGGACCUUGCGCGAUUGAAUGAGCCGAUGUCGGAUUAGCUAGUUGGCGGGGUAAAGGCCCACCAAGGCGACGAUCCGUAGCUGGUCUGAGAGGAUGAUCAGCCACACUGGAACUGAGACACGGUCCAGACUCCUACGGGAGGCAGCAUUGGGGAAUAUUGGACAAUGGGCGCAAGCCUGAUCCAGCCAUACCGCGUGGGUGAAGAAGGCCUUCGGGUUUUAAAGCCCUUUUGUUGGGAAAGAAAAGCAGCAGGUUAAUACCCCGCUGUUCUGACGGUACCCAAAGAAUAAGCACCGGCUAACUUCGUG